Molecule: long non-coding RNA, 367 nt
Organism: Etheostoma cragini (Arkansas darter)
Lineage: Eukaryota; Metazoa; Chordata; Actinopteri; Perciformes; Percidae
Exons: 2
Source: RefSeq, a predicted model, not a curated record
CAGGUUUCAAACUGGUUCUGUACAGUUUGUCUUUGAAAGUCAACGUUUGUCAAAGGUUUCUAAAUGAAUUCCAAACAAAAGCUACUUUAAAAAGACCUCAGGACAUCAUUUCAGCAAACAGACCCACCUUUAGAAGACCUGAAUGUGUAUUUGCUUAUCUCUUCAUAAUCCCCACAAAAACAUCACCAUGUAUGUAUGUUACACACCUAAAGCCAUGAUUGCAGCUCUCACAUCCUGACAGGCUGCAGGGCAAAACAAAGCUUGAGAAAACUUAUGCGGGAAGAGGGAGGUUUGUUCAGAAUCUGUAUGUGAAUUUUGUGGGAAGCCUCAUCGUAAAGACUGUCCCCCAUCCAUACUUGGCAACAGA